Molecule: ribosomal RNA, 377 nt
Filed under: uncultured organism
Description: partial 16S ribosomal RNA
Rfam family: Bacterial small subunit ribosomal RNA
Source: RNAcentral
GUAGGUGGCAAGCGUUGUCCGGGAAUUAUUGGGGCGUAAAGCGCGCGCAGGCGGUUCUUUAAGUCUGAUGUGAAAGCCCACGGGCUCAACCGUGGGAGGGUCAUUGGAAACUGGAGAACUUGAGUACAGAAGAGGAAAGCGGAAUUCCACGUGUAGCGGUGAAAUGCGUAGAGAUGUGGAGGAACACCAGUGGCGAAGGCGGCUUUCUGGUCUGUAACUGACGCUGAGGCGCGAAAGCGUGGGGAGCAAACAGGAUUAGAUACCCUGGUAGUCCACGCUGUAAACGAUGAGUGCUAAGUGUUAGGGGGUUUCCGCCCCUUAGUGCUGCAGCUAACGCAUUAAGCACUCCGCCUGGGGAGUACGGCCGCAAAGGCUGA